UUCAACAACGGAUCUCUUGGCUCUGGCAUCGAUGAAGAACGCAGCGAAAUGCGAUAAGUAAUGUGAAUUGCAGAAUUCAGUGAAUCAUCGAAUCUUUGAACGCACAUUGCGCCCGCCGUAUUCUGGCGGGCAUGCCUGUUCGAGCGUCAUUACAA
RNAcentral lists this ribosomal RNA (155 nucleotides) under Fusarium solani. RNAcentral describes it as "5.8S ribosomal RNA". It matches the Rfam family "5.8S ribosomal RNA". From Rfam's summary of the family: 5.8S ribosomal RNA (5.8S rRNA) is a component of the large subunit of the eukaryotic ribosome. It is transcribed by RNA polymerase I as part of the 45S precursor that also contains 18S and 28S rRNA. Functionally, it is thought that 5.8S rRNA may be involved in ribosome translocation. The record is from RNAcentral. Lineage: Eukaryota; Fungi; Ascomycota; Sordariomycetes; Hypocreales; Nectriaceae.